Puccinia graminis f. sp. tritici is the source of this 97-nucleotide transfer RNA. It matches the Rfam family "tRNA". From Rfam's summary of the family: Transfer RNA (tRNA) molecules are approximately 80 nucleotides in length. Their secondary structure includes four short double-helical elements and three loops (D, anti-codon, and T loops). Lineage: Eukaryota; Fungi; Basidiomycota; Pucciniomycetes; Pucciniales; Pucciniaceae. The record is from Rfam.
GCCCGUUUAGCAUAGUCGUUAUUGCGCGGCACUUGUAUCUUCUCGAGCACUCUCGUAGGUCAUGCCGAGGUCGCUAGUUCAAAUCUGGCAACGGGCA